CAGAGAUGACACCUUCCCACCAAGUGAAGAAUGCCCACUUCCUCCUUCAGAGCAGCUAAAGGGGCUACCCAGAUCUGUGUUGAAGAGAAAACUCUGUUACCAAUGUGAGAAAAAUGAAGGCACUAGAAACGGAAAUCCUGUAAAUGCUCUCCUUUCCAUCCAACAUAUCCACCUGCAGAAGUCAGGGAAAGAAGAGAGAAGAAAUCAAGAGAAUACUAACUAAUAAAUUAAAAGUUUUCAGAAGCAAAAUCUAAAGCCAGAUGGGCACCAUCUGGUCAUAGCUGAUACCAUGUACUUGUAAGAGAGGCCACAGCUACAUUUUAGAAGCUCUCAGAAUGGAAAAGACACCUGCGUUGAUCAGAUAACCAAGAGAUCUCUGUUCCUAUUGAGGCCUGACUCACAGGCCUUGCAAAGGAGCAAAGAAGGGAAAAGGAAAUGUCAUCCAUUGUGUAAAAUACUGCCUUGCUGGCCUGCCAGCUAAAACUUGGCCACAGCCCCUGUUGUGGCUGCAGGCUCAAGUUAUUGUUAACAAAGAGACCCAAGAAAAGCUGCUAAUGUCCUCUUAUCACCAUUGUUAAUUUGUUAAAACAUAAAACAAUCUAAAAUUUC
Long non-coding RNA from Bos taurus (domestic cattle), 609 nucleotides. The record is from Ensembl. Lineage: Eukaryota; Metazoa; Chordata; Mammalia; Artiodactyla; Bovidae.